CACAGUGUGUGUGCACACAUGUUGACACACAUCCUUCAUUUAUCAAUGGGGAUUUAAUAUGUCACCUGGAUACUUCACUGCUGAGAGACUGAAGUCCUUUUAUCAAUGAGAAAAUCCAGAAUUCCUUCCAAGUUAGUAGCUAGAGAAGAAACAACAGUGAAAGAGUGUAUACACAAGAUUUAGAAAAUAGAAUGUGUAUUAUCCAUCAUACAUGCUUGGAGCAGAGGAGCCCAAACUGGACAGCAGAAUGACCACAGCACAGAUCAGGUUCACAGAACAGAUGCAGUUAAGAUUCACCCAGCUCAGACAGUAAUGCUGACAUUUAGGUGUCCCUGCACUGUGAAUACAGAA
Molecule: long non-coding RNA, 351 nt
Organism: Passer domesticus (house sparrow)
Lineage: Eukaryota; Metazoa; Chordata; Aves; Passeriformes; Passeridae
Exons: 3
Source: RefSeq, a predicted model, not a curated record